This 433-nucleotide ribosomal RNA is filed under the name uncultured bacterium. Its description in RNAcentral is "partial 16S ribosomal RNA". It matches the Rfam family "Bacterial small subunit ribosomal RNA", at positions 29 to 507 of the family's 1533-position model. The record is from RNAcentral.
AACGAACGCUGGCGGCAGGCCUAACACAUGCAAGUCGAGCGCGCCCUUCGGGGUGAGCGGCGGACGGGUGAGUAACGCGUGGGAACGUGCCCUUCUCUGCGGAAUAGCCUCGGGAAACUGAGAGUAAUACCGCAUACGCCCUUUGGGGGAAAGAUUUAUCGGAGAAGGAUCGGCCCGCGUUAGAUUAGGUAGUUGGUGGGGUAAUGGCCCACCAAGCCGACGAUCCAUAGCUGGUUUGAGAGGAUGAUCAGCCACACUGGGACUGAGACACGGCCCAGACUCCUACGGGAGGCAGCAGUGGGGAAUCUUAGACAAUGGGGGCAACCCUGAUCUAGCCAUGCCGCGUGAGUGAUGAAGGCCUUAGGGUUGUAAAGCUCUUUCAGCUGGGAAGAUAAUGACGGUACCAGCAGAAGAAGCCCCGGCUAACUCCGUG